Molecule: ribosomal RNA, 520 nt
Filed under: Malassezia japonica
Lineage: Eukaryota; Fungi; Basidiomycota; Malasseziomycetes; Malasseziales; Malasseziaceae
Description: LSU rRNA
Rfam family: Eukaryotic large subunit ribosomal RNA
Source: RNAcentral
CGUUGUAAUCUCGAGACGCGUUUUCCGCGCGGCGCUAUGGACAAGUUCCUUGGAACAGGACAUCGUAGAGGGUGAAAAUCCCGUACUUGCCAUGGAUGCACCGUGCUUUGUGAUACGUGCUCAAAGAGUCGAGUUGUUUGGGAUUGCAGCUCAAAAUGGGUGGUAGACUCCAUCUAAAGCUAAAUAUCGGGGAGAGACCGAUAGCGAACAAGUACCGUGAGGGAAAGAUGAAAAGCACUUUGGAAAGAGAGUUAAAAGUACGUGAAAUUGUCGAAAGGGAAGCGCUUGAAGUCAGCCAUGCCGCUCAGGACUCAGCCUGGCUUUUGCUUGGUGUACUUCCUGGGUAGCAAGUCAGCAUUGGUUUGGACCGUCGGAGAAGCAUGGCAGGAAUGUGACGCCCUCGGGCGUGUUAUAGCCUGCCAUUGGAUACGCCGGUCUAGACCAAGGAACGCAGUGCGCCUUACGGCGGGUCUUCGGACACCUUCGCACUUAGGAUGCUGGCGUAAUGGCUUUAAGCGGC